CCAGAACAACCCCCCAUGUUUGCACCUUCAUUUCUACCCUGUACUAAAAUCAACCAAUCUUUUUUAAGGCCAGACAUGAUUUCCUAACUUCUCAAUAGAGUAAUAUAGAUCCAACAUCACAAUAUAGUUAGAAAUGUUGAGCUCAUUCUUUCAAUUACCAUCCCAUGAGUUUCAAUAUACAAGUAUGUAUAGAAUGCGCAAAUGAGCUAACAAUUAUAAGUUGGGGUAGAGCCUUACCUUGGAUAUCUCAAUCUAUUAUGUCCCCCCAAUUAAUAUCUUUGUGACCUUCUUUAAAUCACAAAAUAGAAAAGGAACAUUAGCACAAGCAUCAGAUGAAAAUAGACCAACAACCCAAGCUUGUGACAUAAAAUUCUUACCUUAAUCUUUGAAAGAUAAUUGUAGCACCUUGGCUACUAACACAUAUAUAUUCACUCCCCUUAAAUAACUUUCUAAUGUAUUCAAAACUAAGGAGAAGAGAAGGUGAUCAUGGGCUGCUUUACAGAAAAUAUUUUGAAGAACACUUAGAACCCUAAUGAAAAAUAGGGAGGUUUUUUUAAGGAUAGAAUAGAGAGAUCAAAAGACUUGAGAGAAAUUGAAUUUGAUGAUAAAAGUGAGAGUUUAUUGAUAAUUUUUUGACAUUUAAAGGACUUACUUUGCUGGCUCAUUCUCUUCUUUAUUUCCAGCCACCAUUUGGCUCUAAUUUGGACCAUAAAUACUAAGUAGGUGAUGCACCUACUUUGGCCAUUUAAGCUGGUCAAAAGUACGAGUAGGUGAUACACCUGCUAGGACAUUUUUAAGUAACUCUUUCUGGGCUUGGAAAGAUUGGGACUAGGGCUUCCAUUCUCCUUAUUUUCUUUUAGUUAAUUUGGGCCUCAAAUAAGUCCAUCAAUAUAGGCUUAGAUUUGGUCGAUUAGUCUAAGUAGGUGAUACAUCUACUUGUCACCUACUAGCUUAAUAAAGUCAAGCAAGAACCUCAUUUAUUUUAUCCUAUAUUUCCAACAUCUUAAUCCUUCUACUCUAUCUUAACACUUAACUCUGAUUUUAAGCUUAUAUACCUCCUUACAAUCUCAAGUUUAAAUAUUUUGUCAGUGAUAAGUUGGUUGUGUAUGUUUAGAAAUAUACGGGGCAUUCCAUUAUCCCCCUUUGGAUCAUUCGUCCUCGAAUGAAAAGUAUAGCUAAUGGAUUGAUUAACCCUAGAAUUUUUCAUAAAAAUGUGCUAGAGUUUUCUUUGUAAAUAGGACUGCACCAAAUAUGUUGGAUAACAAGAAUCACGUAUAGAGCCUCAUAGGGCAUCUCAAUAGAUAUAAUACAAAAAAUGAGAAUAUGAUAAAUAAACCUCCUCUCUUGGCCAUGUAUUUUGGUGAAGGUCAUUUCAGUUUAGAGCAACUUGUUCUAUAUUUCGUUCACCCACAAUCACUUUACUGGAGGCUAUAUCCCACAAAUAAUCGGAAGCUGUAUCUUUUGUCCUUAACUUCUUGACCUAACAACUAAAAAAUAGCUAUGGGGACUUAUUUGAAUAAUAGGUCCUUGUUCCUUUACUAUCCUUAAGGGGUACAAUGAAGAAUGGAUCUCCCACAAAUUUCUAUAAAAUGGAAACACAAGGGCUUAACUUCCCCUAAUUACUAUCUUUGUGACCUUCUCUAAAUCAUAAAAUAGGAAAGGAACAUUAGCACAAGCAUCAGACGAAAAUAGACCAACAACCUAAGCUUGUGACAUGAAAUUCUUACCUUAAUCUUUGAAAGAUAAUUGCAGAACCUUGGCUUCCAACACCUAUAUAUUCACUCCCCAUGAAUAACUUUCUAAUAUAUUCGAAACUAAGGAGAAGAUAAGGUGAUCUUAUGGGCUGCUUUACGGAAAACAUUUUGAAGAACACUUAGAACCCUAAUGAAAAAUAGGGAGGUUGUUUUAAUGAUAGAAGAGAGAGAUCAAAAGACUUGAGAGAAAUUGAAUUUGAUGAGAAAAAUAAAAGUUUAUUGAUAAUUUUUUGGCCUUUAAAGGCAUUACUUGGCUGGAUCAUUCUCCUCUUUAUUUCCAUCCACCAUUUGGCUCUAAUUUGGACCAUAAAUACUAAGCAGGUGAUGCACCUACUUUGGCCAUUUAAGCUGGUCAAAAGUCCAAGUAGGUGAUGCACCUGCUAGGAAAUUUUUAAGUAAAUCUUUGUGGGUUUGGAAAGAUUGGGACUAGGGCUUUCAUUCUCCUUAUUGUCUUUUAGUUAAUUUGGGCCUCAAAUAAGUCCAUCAAUAUAGGCUUAGAUUUGGUCGAUUAGUCUAAGUAGGUGAUACAUCUACUUGUCACCUAAGCAAGCACCUCAUUUAUUUUAUCCUAUAUUUCCAAUAUCUUAAUCCCUCUACUCUAUCUUAACACUUAACUCUGAUUUUAAGUUAACUCUUAACAUUUACAAUCUCAAGUUUAAAAAUUUUGUCAGUGAUAAGUUGGUUGUGUAUGUUUGGAAAUAUACGGGGCAUUACAUCAUCCCCCUUUGGAUCAUUCGUCCUCGAAUGAAAAGUAUAGCUAAUGGAUUGAUUAACCCUAGAAUUUCCCACAAAAAUGUGCUACAAUUUUCUUUGUAAAUAGGACUGCACCAAAUAUGUUGGAUAACUAGAAUCACGUAUAGAGCCUCAUAGGGCAUCUCAAUAGAUAUAAUACAAGAAAUGAGAAUACGAUAAAUAAACCUUCUCUCUUGGCCAUGUAUUUUGGUGUAGGUCAUUUCAGUUUAGCAUAAUCUUCCUCAUUUUCUUCUUUAGACAAGUAAAAUACAUAGAAUUAAGGAAUUUAAGCAUAAAUCAAUACCUAAAUGUAUGAUAUCUGAGUGACAUAUCAAAUAAGCAAAUACUUAUGAAAUAUGUGAUCAUAUAAGGGAAGUACAUGUUUUAAAAUCCUCCGAUUGAUGUUUGUAAUAAGGAUAGGUAUUUAGGAUUCUUAUCAUCUUUUACUUUCUAAGCAACUUGUUCUAUAUUUCGGUUCACCCAUAAUCACUUUACUGGAGGCUAUAUCCCACAAAUAAUCGAAGGCUAUAUCUUUUGUCCUUAACUUCCUGACCUAACAAUUAAAAAAUGGCUAUGGGGACUUAUUUGAAUAAUAGGUCCUUGGUCCUUUACUAUCCUUAAGGGGUACAAUGAAUAAUGGAUCUCUCACAAAUUUCUCCCAAAAAAUCAUAAGACUUUCUAGACAAUUCACUGUAUAAUUUAUAAGUCCUGAUAUACUGAGGGCUUAACUUCCCUUAUUUCAUAAAUUUUAUGAUACUUUUCACAGGUGAUUCUUAUAAGAACAUAUAUCUGUUAAUUUGAACUCUAAGUAUUGUGUUGCACUCUUGGGUAGGCGUUAUGCUAAGCCAUUGUAUAGGGUUAUACUAAAAUUCACAUAUAUGCUCAAGAUUUUCUGACCACAAUCCUCAUUUCAUCAAGAUACAAGGAAACUUUAUCCCAACAAUUUCAAUACUUUGAUCAAUAAGCACAAAAAGGCAUAUAACAUAUGGACAAAUAUGUCACAUAAAGUCUAUGAUAUAUAAUUAAAUUAUUAGCACAAAAGGGGCACUUAACCUAUGAACUUAUGAACCUAAGAAGUAAGCAACAUAUUUGCAAUUGAGCUAUAAAAAUAUGUGAAUUAUGUCGAAGUAAGCUAUGAAAACAUGUAUUAGGUUGCACAUACAAACUAUAAAGUAGGAUGUAAGAAAAUGAAAUAUAAGACAUGUAGCAUGUGGUCGGAUAUAUUAUAAGUACAAUAGUAUGCGAGCAGUUGAGAUAACUCAUGGAACAAAUGAUGCAAAUAAUGUACAAAUACACUAUGAAAUCAUAUAUCCAUAUAAACAGGUAGACUAUAAAACAUGAAGCUAUACAAGAAAGAGAACUAUGAAAUCAAAAUCACAUUGAGCAAGUGGACUAUAUCGCAUGGAUAAGUAGACUAAUAUGUCAAUAGGUACACGUAUGGAAUAUGAGAAAAUGUGCACAUAGACAGAUAACUAACUAUCAGGCUUAUAAUUAUUAAGCAAGUAGGCUACGAGGCACGUAACAUAUAAGGAAAUGGUCUAUGAAGCAUAUAACCAUAGACAAGUGAUCUGCGGCAAGUAACCCAUGUGAUAUACAAUAUAUAGGAAAAGGUAUUAUAAAAUAUAUGGAAAUAAGUAAGGGUUCUAUGAAAGGGCUAACACCUACAUGUAAGUGUUCUACGACACACGUAACAAAUAAGAAAAUAAUCCACUAAGGGCAAAUGACAAGCGAAUAUAAGUUAUGGAACAUGUAGCAUGUAUAUUAUGUACCAAACUAACCUCUAGAAACUAGGAGUCAUCUUAUUAAAUCGUUUUGCCACAUUAAGUGCAAGCAUACGAUCACUAACGUUAAAUAAUAAGUGGGAUAAUUCUGCUCAUGUUCUUUACUCACCUUAAAACACAUGAAAUUGGUUUCCCUAUAUUAUCUUUCUAACCUCCUAUGAAUUCUCUUUAUCGACGUUUCCUUCUGAUUCAAUGUAAAUACUAGGUCCAUGAUAGAAAAAAAUCCUUAACAGUUCAUUUUUAUGAGUAGGAGGUCAAGGUCAACCUUAUCUUUGCUACUGACCUAGAACAUCAUUACAACCAAUGUUUGGUACCAUAUAAAAGUUCAAAUAAGCAAGUUACUAAUGAAAUUUAAAGGCACUAUUGCAUAUAAACACUUAUUUACAACAAGUCAAACAUAAAUGUCAAGUACUUGCAAAAUUAUAUCAUAAUUCUAAAACAUCUGUCGUUUAGUCACUUUGGGCUUAACUAGAUGGGCCAAUCCAUGGUAACUAAUUUUUCCAUAACAAGUGAGGACUAAAAAAUCUUGUAUCUUAACAUGUGAUGGCAAUCCAAUACCUUUAAUCGAGUAAUUUAAAUAAGCUAUGCAUCAAGGGAAUUGCUAUAUCAGGGAGUCAAGUGAACAAACGGUACUUUAUACUUCACAUCAAUUUUAACAACCAUCAGAACUCUAUGCAUAUGCAUAACAAACUAUCUCUUAUUUUAAUAGGGAUAAUACAGAUGCAUCCUUAAAUGAUAGGUUAGGUCAAGUGUAUAUCUUCUUAUCACCCCUCUAUUCUUGCAUUUAAUAAGACUAGGCAUCAAAAUAUGCAUUCAUAUUGAGUUAGAAUGUCACUCUUACCUACUUUGAUGUCUAACUAAUACCUUUUUAAUCAAAAUUACUAGCUUCGUGUAUUCUAAUUCCACUACAAUUAGCCUAGCUAAUCACAACUUAGGUCUAACUAGUCAAUAUUCCUUUUUCAACCUUAAGGUGUAGUCGUAUACUAAUCCUCUAUAUCCUAAACAUAGAACCGUAGGAACCAAGUGUACAUAAACUUUUAUAUAAAAUAAUUGGAAAUUCUCAUCCUAGAGUUUUCUAACCACAAAAUAGAUUGCAUGUUAUUAUUACCUAUUCGGGGUGGUCAUACACACAUACCUUAUAAAAAGAUAAAUACUAAAAUCUAGAAUGAUAUCUAGUUGGUGUUUGGUCCUUAUCAACUAACUAGGGGUAUCCCUAGUAAUGUUAUCAUAUUGAAAGGUUCACCUUUUAGACUAUGCUACUAGCCUCUUUCAAUUAAUACAAAACUAGUUUAACAGAUUCUAUUUUCAAAAUGAGUGUAACUCUAAAACCCUAUAUGUUUACUAUUAAGGUACUAAAUGUCCUCCGUAAGAUUAAAUCCUAUAUAUUAAAGGACUCGUGUGGAGGAAAUCUCAGACCCAAGAACCAUUCACAUCCUUUUAAGAAGCGCACUAAGAAAUGUUUGCAACCCUUCUUUAUGACUAGUUAACCAUUUAUAAUACAAAAAAAUUAAUAACCCUAUUAUAUCUUGCUCAAAUGAACCAAGACAAUACAAAUACUACAAAUGCAGCCUUAUGUGCAAGUAACACAAAAACCAUUGCACUAUUGUAGGCCGUGAGGGUCGGACUAAAUUGGCUUACCCUAAUAUGAAUUUUAAUGACUUGAGAGACUUCUUUAUAGGUUGCCUCUUAGGCAUUAGUGGUGCUAUCCUUUUUGCCAUCUUUGACCUUAGCUAUAAUAGGCAUUGUAUGAAUAUGAGAGAUCAUAGUACGAGUAGGAAUGGACUCCUUAACACUGCUCUAUCACACGGCAUGAAAUAUAAAGGAAAUUAACAUUUCCUAAAUGUCCAAGUAGCCCCUUAAUUAUUAAUAUGGCGUGCAACACAUUCAUAAGUAAGGCUCUAGUAGACACGACUUUGUAGACUCCCUAGGAUGAACAGUUCUGAUAUCAUUUCUGUCACACCCCAAUUCUGGAUGAGGCAGAUAACAACUAUAGGAACACAUACUAUAAAAAUAACCUACAUGAGAAAAUAAAUCACUAUACAAAUGGAAUUGUUGAUAAGAAGUUGUACCAAUUAGCCAAACCGAUACAAAUGACAUGUAAAUCAAUGAAUACAUAUAACCGCUUUACAAUGUCUACAAAUCCUCUAAUGGAAUCCAUGACUGUUAAACUAUUAAAAAAUAUAUGCUAAAGAUUAGGCAAGACCCCGAAUCAACUUGGAGCUCACCAAUAGCCGUUGAGUAUCCAAUACUUCUAUUAGGGAGAUAUACUAGCUAAGAACCUGUGCCUAUAACAUAGAACGCUAGACCCCAUAUGGGACAUCAGUAUAAAGUAAUGCACUGAAUAUGUAUGGCAUGAGAUAACCAUAAGUGAAAUAAAAGAUCAAUGAAAUUAGGGAUCAAUAUAUAAAUAUAUAGAUAAGGAUGAACGACCACCUUUACUUACACUUGUGGAAAAUUGUACAUUACAUGCUUUUCUUUACUUUAUUAGUUUUUGCUUUAUAAUCUUUGUAAGCCAUGUGAUAUAUAUGAUCAGAUGAUCAGAGGUAAAAUAGGAUGAGCCAUGCUAGGCAUUAUACCCCUGGGGUACGUUCCUCAUUAAUACACAAAUCGGGAUUGACCCAUGCUAGGCUUUCCUUUCACCCCUAGGAUACCACCUGAUAAUGGGAUCAACCAAUGCUAGGUGUUUAUUCCACCCCUGGGAUACCACCCAUAAAUGUAUGUAUUGUGAUUAGCACAUGCUAGGCUUUAGCCCCUGAGCUACCACCUACAUAUAAACAUAUUCACGUUACUUCAUUUCUUAUGUUUGAGAUUGUUAUUUUGGUGGCCAUAAUAUUAUUAAGCUUUGGAACUAUAGACCGGUACUAAGAAAUAUGUGAAUAUGCACUUGAGACAAUAACAAUGAAGUAGCAAGCAUUUUUAAUUGUAAUAGAAAUGUAAUACUUUGGAGCUUAAAUGACACAAUCAGUACUUUGACAUCUCAAAUGAAACAUAGGUGCAAUUCGAGUGAAGGUAUCUAAUUUAAUCUAAGAGAUAGGUUUUCUAGAUAGUGAUGUAAAUAAAUACUUAGUAAACAGUGUCAAAUGAAAGGUACAUGAACAUGAGAACUACUGGAGCGUGUGGAGAAAUUUGACUUAGGUAUAAAUAUAUAUUACAUGUAAGGAGAUGCAAACUAUAGAAUGGAAUGAAUAGGGAUUCUAUGAGGUAACAUUAUAGACUACGGCAAUGGGAAUGAUGCCCAAUGAAGGGGAUAUGUAAAUGUGUGAGAAAAUAAAGUAUAUUAUUAAAUAGACAAUUGAAGCAAGUUGGUAGUAAAUGGGCAGAUUGCAUACCUAACACAUGAGCACACUUACCAUGUGUAAUCUAGGGUCUUAUUUAUAUGUAAAAGAGGAACACAAGUUUGACUGGAAAGUGUAAAUACACAAAUCUAGUAAUAAACACAUAUUUGAAAUGCUUUUGACACGUUUGUGAGAUCAUAGGGAGUAGGAACAAGGUCAUUACUAAUGCUAAAAAUCAUACAUCAUUUCCAUAUAUCCUUUACUAGUGAGAACUCUUAGGAAGCUCACUUUGUUGGUACUAACACUACUAUUAGAUUUCAUGCCAAAGAAGAUGAAAAAGAAUAGCCUUACAUACCUUAUCUUUCGACCAAUGUGACUACGACAAUUCAAUUUUUUCUUUUAAGUGUUACUCUACAAUACAAGGACAUAAUGAAGCUAAUAUUAGAACCUACUCACAUUAUCAUCCUACAAAAAUAGUAGCUAAAUACUUGACGGGCAGUAAGACCAUCCAAACCCCUAAACACAUGGUGUAUCACCAUACCCUUCUUUUGUAAUUCAAUGGAAGCUCCAUUCAACCAUUGUAUAAGGUGACUCACUUCCUCAAAAAAGAAAUACAGAUAAAACAACCUAUAUAUAGUCAUAAAAUCCAUAAACCACCAGAACAACCCCUCAUGUUUGCACCUUUAUUUCUACCCCGUACUAACAUUAACCAAUCUUUUUUAAUGCCAAACAUGAUUUCCUAACUUUUCAAUACAAUAAUACAGGUCUAACAUCACAAUAUAGUUAGAAAAGUUGAGCUCACUAUUUCAAUUACCAUCCCAUGAGUUUCAAUAUACAAGUAUGUCUAGAAUGAGCAAAUGAGCUAAUAAUUAAAAGUUGGGGAAACACCUUACCUUAGAUAUCUUAAUAUGUUAUUUUCCCCCAAUUACUAUCUUUGUGACCUAAUCUAAGUCACAACAUAGGAAAGGAACAUUAGACCAACAACCCAAGCUUAUGACAUAAAAUUCUUACCUUAAUCUUUAAAAGAUAGUGGCAGCACCCUUGCUGCCAAUGCCAAUAUAUUCACUCCCCUUGAAUAACUUUCUAAUAUAUUCGAAACUAAGGAGAAGAAAAGGUGAUCUUAUGGGCUGCUUUACAGAAAAUAUUUUGAAGAACACUUAGAACCCUAAUGAAAAAUACGAAGGUUGUUUUAAGGAUAGAAGAUAGAGAUUUAAAGACUUGAGAGGAAUUGAAUUUGAUGAGAAAAAUAAGACUUUAUUGAUAAUUUUUUGAUCUUUAAAGGCCUCACUUUUCUGGCUCAUUCUCCUCUUUAUUUCCAGCCACCAUUUAGCUCUAAUUUGGACCAUAAUUGCUAAAUAGGUGAUGCACCUACUUUGGCCAUUCAAUAUGGUCAAAAGUCCAAGUGGCUGAUGCACCUACUGGGACAUUUUUAAGUAACUCUUUGUGGUCUUGGAGAGAUUGGGCCUUGGGAUACCAUUCUCUUUAUUUUCUUUUAGUUAAUUUGGGCCUCAAAUAAGUCCAUUAAUAUAGGCUUCAAUUUGGUCAAUUAGUCUAAGUAUGUGAUACAUCUACUUGUCACCUACUAUCUUAAUUAAGUCUAGCAAGAACCUCAUUUAUUUAAUCCUAUAUUUUCUAUAUCUUAAUCCCUCUACUCUAACUUAACACCUAACUCCUAUUUUAAGCUUAUAUACCUCCUUACAAUCUCAAGUUUAAAUAUUUUGUCAGUGAUAAGUUGGUUGUGUAUGUUUGGAAAUAUACAAGGUAUUACAGACAAGUACCAAUGGCAAACCACUACAGCAGUUGACUCUACUACUUUAAGCAAUGGAAAAAGAGAUAGUUGAAGUUUAUGCUUUUGUGCUUUAUACCAUUUUCUUAUCAUAUUUAUGAUUCAUGUUCAACUUGUAUCAAUAGCCACCGCAAAAGAGGAGAUGAGGCAUGAUAUUAAGAAAAUUUGCCCUGGAAUAUCUCUCUGUCAUUGGGACUCAUACAGAAUGUAAUGUUGUUUUUUCACAAUAGAACAAAAAAUGGUUGGUAUUGCUAUACACGCUUCUCUUCUGAUACUGCAUCCCUCUUCUCUUAGAUUAAUACAAGUAAGGAUUAUACUUUUUUCCUCCUACUUCUGCUUCCCUUAGUUAGAUGAUAAAUAAUUAUUUUACUUUCUAUUUCAAGACCUUGAUACCGGUAACAUUGGACCCCAUGUAUGUUGUGGAGAGAGAUACCUAAUUAAAUAAUUGUCCUCUUCAUAAAAUAAACAAACCUGACAUUUUUAGCUUCGUCUUUCACCCUUUUAAGGCCUGACAUAAGAAUGUGUAAAAUUUAAAAUGUUAUAUAUUUGCUUAAUUCUAUUAGGCGGUUUCUCUAUUCGUGCGAUAGUAACAAUAAGUAUACCCUUCUUAUAUAACUAUGUUAAUAAUUAAAUCUAUAGAUUCAAAUAUGCACAUCCAUAUGUUAUAUCUUUUUGGUCUGAAUCUUUUGAUAUCCAUUGUUGGAUUUAUUUGGACGAGGGCCAUGCGCUUCUUGAUGUUUGUAUGUAAGUUUGUGCUUUUGGAGUCUAUUUAUCUGAUGAAUUUCUUUGUUAUAUUCUAUUCAUAAUCACAUGAAAAGAUAUCCUAUCUAUGUUAAUUCUUUUGCACUAGGAUGCAAAUUGUCUGCCACUUUGGCUUUUGUUUUCAUAUGCUACUAACUAUACAAGUUUCUUUAUCUAUUUUUAAGUUAAAAAUUAUAGUUGGUUUGGAUUAAUAAGGUGGUCAACAGUGGAGCGAAAGUAACAGAGAUGGUUAGUUCAGAGGCCCUAUAAGGAUAAAAAAAUAAGAUAAAACUAGCUACUUUAAUCCUCAGUGUCCCUCCUGAACAAGGUUGUUCCUUCACCUUUCUUCACUUUUGCCUUUAUUGGAUGAAGAAAAUAUUUUUGUAUCUCUGUACUAUCAUGCUAGAGUUUGUGCUUUUGCUAGUGUGUAUUGUCAUCAUGUGUCUUGUUUGUGAUCUUGCAAUUCGAGUACUAAUUUGGUUGGAAUAAAAAGAACUCUAGAUUCAAGAGUUGUCAACUUUUUGAACUAGAAUUUGUAGAUUUUCCUUACCACCUUCGCUCAAUAAAAGACAGACGCAUGAUUUUUGACACGAUGCAAGACUGUGAGCAUGAAUGGUAAAGAUGCAAGUAUUUGAUUAUAUUAGGGAAUCUUUUGGAUAACUUAAAGAUCACAAACAAGGAACCUUUGAAAGGUUUUUAUCAACUUAUGUGUUGUUUACUAAGCUUGUAUAUAUAAGUUGUUACUAUUGAAAACUUACCAUGGUGUUAUGUAUGGGUAGGCUUUAUGGGAUGUUUCAAGAAAAAUACCAACAUACAUGUAAAAUUCUAUUAAAAUACUAAUUAGUGUCCUUUUUGAUUUAUGAAUCUUGAUUAGAAAAAAGCCUUCUGAUUUUGGGUUCUUCUUCAUAAAGGUUAUAUGGUAUCACAAAUUAUUAGAUUCAUCAUUGGUAGAGUUGAGAAGGCAGAAGGUAUUAUUUUUUUUCAUUAUCAAUUGUUUGAGGUUAUAGUUUGAUUUUGAUGAACAUGCUUAGUUGAUAACUAUAGAAUAUAUUUGAAAAUUUCCUAGCUUUAAAUUUACUUUUGUCUUUUGUUAAAGAGCCAUGUUUACCUACUCAAGCUUAGGUGAUUUAAGUCUUUUUUUAAUUCUUCUUAGAGUACAUGAAAUUUUGAGAUGUGAUGCAUUCUACAAUGACUUGGUGUUGAAAGAUGAUAUAGAGUAGUACAUAUUUAGCUUUAAUUCUCUUUUGUAUCAUUAGCGUGACAUUUAUUUGUUACAACAACAAGAUUUAUUCAACUCUCAUGAGGGGCCAUGUAAAUCAUGAUAUCCGCACCUAUUAGCAUAUCUUUUGUAGCUUGUCUAUCGUAAAUCUUGUGCCUAAAUCAGUGCAACUAAAUGAUAAAUUUAGGGGCAUGAGGCAUCAAUUUGUGAUUGAUUAAUCUUUGCUAUUAAAAAACAUAUUAUUUUAGCACCAGGUAUAUACCUUGAAGGUAUAUAGAGGAAAGAGAAAAAUGAUACAAGCUGCUGAAGAGAAUGAAAGACCAGAGGAGUUCGAUAUAUUUUGGGGCUAGAAGCGGGCCUAAUGUUGGAAUUAGGAAAAAAUAUUAGGUAUAAAAGAGUAAAUUUUGAUAUUACAGUUUUGUUGAUAUUCACCAGAUGAAUCAUUGUGUUGUCUUUGUGUGUUUCUUGAAGAAUUUGUUUUCACUGGAUUAGACGUUAAUUUCCUCAUUCCACUCUAUUGUUUAGUUUGUUAUACUUUGAUAAAAGUAGUGAAAGCUGAAAAAUGAGGCAAUAUCCCAAAUUGGUAUAUCUAACAUGCAAACAUGAAAGAUGUUCAAAAUUUGCAACAUCGAGCACACAUGAGACAGACUAUAUGUGCAGCUAUAUAUUAAUUAUCCAUCACCACCAAAGAAUUCAUUUUGAAAAAACUCUAAUCUAAAACUUCCUCACUAAAUCACACUUCUCUUGCUCUAAAAGUGUACUUUAAAUAAAGGUACUCUCUAAAAGUAUACUUUAAUUCAGGGUAAAAGAAGUGAUAAAUAAAAAUAAGAGAAAGUAAUAAAUGAAUGUAAUGAUCCCUCAAUUGCUGAAGAAGCUUACUAGAGAAAGAGAGAUGAUGAAGACAUUAACAAUAUUAUCCAAGCUAACAUGCAAUGCAAAAAUGAACAUUCAAAUCCAAGCUUUAUUGAAGAAAGUGAUAAUAUAUAAAAACUUAAAUUUUGAGGAUGCAUACACAUAAACAUUUAUUUAACAAAUAUUAAUCAAAAUAUACUUCAAAGCUUCCCUAAUUUUGAGAUUGAAAUCUCUAACUAGAAUAAGGAAGUGUUUGGUAACAUCUUUAUAAAGAAGAAACACAUCCGUGCCAGACUUGAGGGGAUCAAAAAGUCCUCACACUAUCCCCACAGUCUCUUUCUUUAGACCCUUGAGUCUCAACUCUUAAAAGAGUUCAGUGAGAUCGUCUAACAAGAACAAGAAUUCUAAAGAAUCAAAUCUAGGAUAAACUGGUUGGCUGAGGGAGACUCCAAUACCAGGUUCUUUCAUACCUCUACCCUCAAUAAGAGGAGGAAGAACAACAUAUCUGCUCUUAAAGAUGAUAAUGGGAAUUGGAGCUAUUCCCAAGAGGAAAUCAGUUCUGAGAUCCUUUGAUUCUACUCUAAUCUCUUCUUCUUUGAUCACUACAGCAACCCCAUUAGAUGCCAACACAACCCCUCCUCCAAGGGAUCUAUCAGAACUGAGGACCACCAUCUUCUUGAUUUUAUUUCUUCACCCAUUGAGAUUAGGAAGGCUGUCUUCUCCUUCAAACCCACCAAGGCCCCAAGUCCAUAUGGCCUACACCCACUCUUCUACCAAAAAUUCUGGGACAUCCUGGGUCCCCCCACCAUCCAAUUAUGUAUUAAAACUUUCUAUUACAUGAAAAUAGAGAGCAAAGUCAACUCCACCUAUCUCUGCCUCAUUCCUAAAUGCUCCAAUGCCACUAGCUUGAGAAACUUUAGACCCAUUGGCAUUUUCAACACUUAGUACAAGAUAGUUACUAAAAUUAUAGCUACUAGACUCAAACCUUUCCUGGCCAACAUCAUUGCUCCUACUCAGUCUAGCUUCCUACCAAAUAGAAGGACCUCUAACAAUGCCAUCAUCAUCCAGAAGGAUAUCUCUCACUUCAAGAAAAUGAAAGGUAAAAGGGCCAACUUGAUCCUCAAGAUUGACCUUGAGAAGCUUUUGAUAGAAUUAAAUAGUCCUUUGUGAGACAAGCCCUCGACUUUUUCAAUAUUUCCCCCCCCCCCCCCCCAAAUACCCCCCCCCCCCCCCCAGGCUUACUAAUCUCAUCAUGUCUUGCAUUUCCUUCUUCUCUAUCUCCAUUCUAAUAAAUGUGAACAAAACUGAGCCUUUCAAUCCAACCAGGGGGAUAAGGCAGGGGGAUCCUCUUUCUCCUUACAUCUUCAUCAUGUGCAUGGAGUUACUGUCCAGGAGAAUUGAUCAUGAGGUGGAUAUCCUCAAUUGGAAACCCAUAGCUAUUAGCAAAAGAGGCCUAAAAAUCUCUCACCUCUUUUUUGCUGAUAAUCUUACCCUAUUUGCUAAAGCUAAUAAGGUAAAUUGCUGGACCAUCAAGAACACCUUCCAAAGCUUCAGCCAACAUUCUGGACAAAAGAUCAACCACCUCAAAUCCAAAUUCCUUUUCUCCCAAAAUAGCAACCAGAGAGAUAGAACCACCUUCUCUUCUAUCCUUAAUAUUGAGGCUAAAGAUAACUUUGGGAUACCCGAGCUUCCUCAUCUUCACUCAAAAGCCAUGUACCAAUGAUUUCCAAUUCAUUGUAGACAAUCUAAAUUCUAAGUUGGCUAGUUAGAAGACGAAUUUCCUCAACCUAGCAAGCAGAACCAUCCUCACAAAAUCCUCUCUGAGUAGCAUUCCUACCCAUGUCAUGUAAUACAUCUCCUUCCCUUCUAACAUCCACAAAUCCAUUGACCAAAUUCAAAGAAACUUUGUCUGGGGAUCAACUGUAGAGAAGAAGAAAACCCACCUUCUGAACUAGGACACCAUUACCACCCCUAAGGAUAAAGGGGGCCUAGGUCUCCAAAAGUCCAACAUCAGGAAUGAUACAGUAUUGGCCAGUCUAGCAUGGAGGCUCAAUAAAAACCCUCAGACCCUUUGGGCAAACAUUCUCUUUAGAAAAUACUACCAGGAUAGUAGAUGUCUAUCCAGCAAAAGUACCUACAGCAUGCUAGCAGGUACUUUUGAGAGUGACAACAGAACCAACUCCAUCAGUCUCAAGUGGAUCUGGAAAACAAGAAUCCCCCCUAAAAUUAAAACCUUCCUCUGGCUUAUAUACCAUAACAGACUUCCAAUAAGCCACACCCUUGCCAAGAUGAAAAUAAAAAAAUCCUCUAAUUGCAAAAGCUGCAAUUACCACACUGAAGAUAUUGACUAUAUCUUUCAUGAAUGCCCAAAGGUCCACUAUUACUGUAAAGCUGUCAUUGAUAAAAGUAUAUCUAAAAACCAGCUUAACCAAUAUCUUUUUCAUCCCUCUAACUGGGGUAAAACUUGGAAAUCUCUCCACCAUACUCCUUAUGACAAGAUCUUGGAUUGGUAGGACCUUCUACCCUUUUGACUUUGGUCGAUUUGGAGGAAUAGAAACCAAGAUACUUUCAACAACUCCAACAUCACCCGUAAUAUCUCUAACACUUACUUUGAAGCUGUGGAGUACAAAAUGACCAUAAUAAAUAAUAAUACCCUUGCUUAAUUCAAAUUCAUCAAUGUUAGGUGGGAACCCCCAACAAAAGGGAUGUUUAAACUUAACACGGAUGGUAGCUGCAUAGAGAACCUUAGAAAAGGAGGAAUAGGGGGGGGGGGCAGGUUAUCAGAUCUAGCUCUGGGGAAUGGAUUGUAGGUUUCUACAAAUCCUUCCAUAAGACUACUAACAACUACAUGGAGCUCAAAGCCCUUGUGGAGGGGCUAAAACUAGUAGAGCAAAGGAACCUGCUACCCAUUGUGAUUAAUACUGACUCUGCUGAGAUUAUCAAUAUGCUUAACACUGGAAACUUACACUAUGAUGCUUUGCUGGAUGAUUGUAGGUCAAGACUAAGAAAGUUAGGGGGACAUGUGAUAUCCCACUGUUUCAGGGAACAAAAUGGUGUGACGAAUCUUAUGGCCAAGCAGAGAAAAGCAUCAACUGACUUUGUAGAUAUCCAGAUUUUUGAAGUUCCACCUUUGUGUGCUGCACAGGAACUUUUUUUGAAAGGAGGGUUAAUGAUCGUAACAUAAACAAUGAAUCCUUCCCUUUUAGUUUCUCUAUUCUGGAUCCUGGCUAAUAUAGCAGGAUGGUUAUGGUGGUGCAUGGAAAACUCUUCCUUUUUUAAUUAAUGCAUAUCUUUUUAAUAAAAAACAUAUUUUGUAGGAGAUCAAUAUAUUGGUGAGUGAAAUUGUGAACGGAGCACGAAAUGGUUGUGCUAAUACACCGCCCGUUAAUCAUCGGAUAAUUACUAAUCCGAACCGAACCAACGGAUAUCUUAUAGGUUGCUAAUGGAUUAGUAUAUUUAAAAGUCGAUAUCUGAUAAGUCGAAUCGUUAAGUAUAUUUAUCCGUUUGAUCAGCCCGAUAAGCAGCCCUACCCCUUACCCCUCUUCACACACAUGCUUUCAUCCCCAUCCUAAUACCCCGCCUCUAAUCAAAUUUAUACAAAAAAAAUAUUAAUAGUAAAAAAAAAUUAUUUCAUAUUUUUUUGUUAUAUUAUUAAUAAUUUAAAUUUAUAACACCUCUCAAUUUCCGUACUUGAUGUACAUUUUUAAAUUAUUUUUUUUAUUACACUCAUAAGCAAUUGAGUUUUCUUAUCUCUUAUCUUAAAAUAUACAAAUUAAAAUAGAUAAUUUUGAUAUGCAUAACAAAAAAUUAAAUAAAGAUUAGAAGAGGACUCCAUAAUAAUCUAAUUUGUUAGAUUUUAUCUCCAUUUAAAACUAGUUACACUUUUUAUCUCAUAUUUAAUUUUAGUUUUUCUAUUUACUCAAAUUCAAAAAAAAUUAUAAAAUUUUUCUAAAAACUAAAAAGAAUUCCAUAAUGUAUGUAACAUUUCUUGAAUAUUAAUUUUAGAGGAAAAAGUAAAAUCAUAAAUUCAUCAAAAUAUAAGAUUUUACUUGUUAUAGUUAAGAAAACACUUUUGAAAAUUUAAUUUAUUUUACAUCAUGUUAAUUAUACCCUAAGAUAUUAUAUUAAAAAUUUACCUUUUAAGCCUAUGAUUUACUGUUGUGUGUGUUCUUUUCUUCUCUAUAUUAUGAAAUUAAAUGACACCCAAAAUCACUAAAAAAAAAAUUUAUAAAUAAAUUAAAUUUGCAAGUAAAAUUUAAAAAGGAAUAAUAAAUUAGACUAUCUAAAUGUCUAUAAAUCUGCUUUGUAAGACUCCUAAUAUAUGUGAAUGUGGUACUUAUUAGAUACAGAAAACAGACAAUCAUAAAUUCCAUACAAUUGAACUAAAUAUUAAAAAAAUAGCUAUUCAUUAAAACAACAUUGAAAAGAAAACAAUAAUAUCAAGCACAUACUUAAAAAAAACUUAAGCUUCCCAAUUAUACCAACAAAACUUCUACUUUUACAAUAAUCUAUUAUUUUCUUCUCUUCAUUCUUCUUCAUCCCUUUUGCAAGUCAACAAUAGCAAUAAAAUUAUUUCUAAAAAUUAGAAUAAACUCUCAAAAACACUUCUUCAUAAAUUAAACAAUAGAAAUGGUAUUAAUUUAAAAUCGAUUUAUCUAUAAGUCUUUUACUUAUUAAAGUCUUUGUUUCUAUUAUUAGUAAAAAAAAUUCUCCUUAUCUUCUUCAAAGUUGUUAUCAUUUAAAAUGUGAGGCGAAUUACCACAAAAAUUAGAUAGAUAUGUCAAGCCAUUCAAAGGAUACUUUUUCAUAAGAUAAAAAUCAGGCUUUAAUUAAGAAGGUAAUGAAUCAGUUAACAUAAUGCAUAUACUUUUAAGAAGAGCUUAAACCAGUGUAAAUCAUUAGGAAGACAAUAUAAUCGAUUUUACCGAUUUACAACUUGAUGAUCAAAUGUUGAUUCAAACAAGAUAAACAUCAAAGAGAUUUUAAACUGAAAUUAUUUAAGUGAAAAAUAUUUCUCAACCAAACUAGCCAAAGAAAAAGCAGUGAAAGACAUCUUGAGUGAAAUCACACAUUUUAACAAAAAGACACAUUUUAAGCAUGUGUUGAGACGUCUGAAUACACAAUAAUUCAACACCAACCUUUCUUACACAAUGAAGAAAUGUCUAAAUACGCAACAAUUCAACACCAAUAUUUUUUAAAUAAUGAAGAAAUUUAGAUGCAACUCUAUAUUAUCUAUCGGGAACAAUAGAAAUAGGAAGGCAUCCACACAGUGCGGGAGAUUUCUGCUUAAGAAAGCACAAGAUUCGACAUUACAAAUUUAACAAUCAUCCUAAAGCUAGCACUUAAGCGAACACUAUAAGAAAUAUGAAAUAGUGGAAUAUUACCUUUUUCUGGGCAGCGAAAUAGGACAACAAGUUCACGACGACUUCACCAACUUGCUUUUGAUUUGAAAAAAGACAAGGAAAAAUAAAACUUGAACCAAAAUUUUCAUAACUCCAGGUUGGGGACAGAAGUCCAAAUCCUAACCAAGUAGAGAAGUUUAGCCCUUUUUCGUUCGAAAAAAAAUCUUUAAACAAUAGAGAGAAGGAUUAAUAUGGAAAUUCAAAAAUCUCAAUUCUUGAGAAAUCGGUGAUGUGGGAUAGAGAAUGUCAAGGGUAUUUUUGAGAAUGUUGAUUGAGUACUUCAAAUUGAGGAUAAGAUUUGUUAAGCAAGUUGGAAUUGUACUGUUUUUGUAUGAAUUUGAAAUUCGAACGUUGGCUGAGCUGGACGGAUUGGGUCGGGUUUUGCUGUUGGAUUGUUGUUGUUUGAAUGUUGGUUUCUGGUGCGGGUUGGUUUUGCCAAAGCUCUUACGGUUGUACGUUUUGGUGUUGUACGACAUUUUUUGUUGUUA
Molecule: long non-coding RNA, 18030 nt
Filed under: Capsicum annuum
Lineage: Eukaryota; Viridiplantae; Streptophyta; Magnoliopsida; Solanales; Solanaceae
Description: long non-coding RNA (CANN_LNC014434)
Source: RNAcentral